UACGAAGGGGGCUAGCGUUGCUCGGAAUCACUGGGCGUAAAGCGCACGUAGGCGGAUCUUUAAGUCAGGGGUGAAAUCCUGGAGCUCAACUCCAGAACUGCCUUUGAUACUGGGGAUCUCGAGUCCGGAAGAGGUGAGUGGAACUCCGAGUGUAGAGGUGAAAUUCGUAGAUAUCAGGAGGAACACCUAUGGCGAAGGCAGCUCUCUGGUACGUGACUGACGCUGAGACGCGAAAGCGUGGGGAGCGAACAGG
RNAcentral lists this ribosomal RNA (253 nucleotides) under uncultured bacterium. RNAcentral describes it as "partial 16S ribosomal RNA". It matches the Rfam family "Bacterial small subunit ribosomal RNA", at positions 524 to 776 of the family's 1533-position model. The record is from RNAcentral.